GAUGAACGCUAGCUACAGGCUUAACACAUGCAAGUCGAGGGGUAACGAGAGGAAAGCUUGCUUUCCUUGUCGACGACCGGCGCACGGGUGAGUAACGCGUAUCCAACCUGCCCCCAACUAGGGAAUAACCCUGCGAAAGUAAGACUAAUACCCUAUAAUUUCCUCAGAUGACAUCUGACGAGGAAUAAAGAUUUAUCGGUUGUGGAUGGGGAUGCGUCUGAUUAGCUCGUUGGCGGGGUAACGGCCCACCAAGGCAACGAUCAGCAGGGGUUCUGAGAGGAAGGUCCCCCACAUUGGAACUGAGACACGGUCCAAACUCCUACGGGAGGCAGCAGUGAGGAAUAUUGGUCAACGGGCGGAAGCCUGAACCAGCCAAGUAGCGUGCAGGAUGACGGCCCUAUGGGUUGUAAACUGCUUUUAUACAGGAAUAAAGUUAGCCACGUGUGGUUAUUUGUAGGUACUGUAUGAAUAAGGACCGGCUAAUUCCGUGCCAGCCGCCGCGGUAA
This 506-nucleotide ribosomal RNA is filed under the name uncultured bacterium. Its description in RNAcentral is "partial 16S ribosomal RNA". It matches the Rfam family "Bacterial small subunit ribosomal RNA", at positions 28 to 523 of the family's 1533-position model. The record is from RNAcentral.